AACGAACGCUGGCGGCGUGCCUAACACAUGCCAGUCGAACGGGACCUCCGGGCCUAGUGGCGCACGGCGACGUAACAAGGGGGAACCUGCCCUUAGGUUCGCAAUAACUCCCCGAAGGGGGUGCUAAUACAGGUGAAUGUCUUCGGACCAAAGAUCUAUCGCCUUGGGAUGGGCCCGCGUUGGAUUAGCUGGUUGGUAGGGUAAUAGCCUACCAAGGCGAGGAUCCAGAGCUGGUCGGUGAGCAUGACUAGCCACACUGGGACUGAGACCCGGCCCAGACUCCUACGCAAGGGAGCAGUGGGGAAUAUUGUACAAUGGGCGAAGGCCUGAUCCAGCCAUGCCGGGGAAGAGAUGAAGGGGGUAGUGUUGUAAAGCUGUUUUACCCGGGAUGAUAAUGACGGUACCGGGAGAAUAAGCUCCGGCUAACUACGUG
RNAcentral lists this ribosomal RNA (433 nucleotides) under uncultured bacterium. RNAcentral describes it as "partial 16S ribosomal RNA". It matches the Rfam family "Bacterial small subunit ribosomal RNA", at positions 29 to 507 of the family's 1533-position model. The record is from RNAcentral.